Long non-coding RNA from Triticum aestivum (bread wheat), 1076 nucleotides. RefSeq lists it as uncharacterized. The transcript has 3 exons. The record is from RefSeq and is a predicted model, not a curated record. Lineage: Eukaryota; Viridiplantae; Streptophyta; Magnoliopsida; Poales; Poaceae.
AACGGCCAUCCAAGCGGGACCUAAAACGACUCUGCUGGCCCCCGAAUCCUCCAACCACCCCCUUGCAUGACGCCGCCCUGCUCCCAAUCCCCUAUGGCCGCCGCCUCCCAUCCGGCGACGCCGCACUCCACCGCCGGCGGAUGACCCCACACCGCUGCUCCCCCACUCCUCCAGCGCCGUCUACCUGCCCGUCCACGGCCGCCUCGUCGCCGUCCGACCACUCGCCUCCCUCACCGGCCAACGCUGCCCCGUCAACGUCCAGCCACUCGCCUCCCUUGCCGGCCAGCCUCCCCUUGCGCGCCCUCCAACCAUUCCAGCGGCGCCUUCAUCCCCGACGACCGGCUCCCCUCGUAGAUUCGCAGUACAGCGCCGCUUCGAUCCCCAUCGACCGGCGCUUCCAGCGCCGCCCCUUCGACGUCCAACAGUCUCCCUCGUGGUCGAGCCUCUCCAGCGCCUCCGCAUCGACCGGCGCUUCCAGCGCCGCCCCUUCGACGUCCAACAACCCCCCUCGUCGUCGAGCCUCUCCAGCGCCUCCGCAUCGACCGGCGCCUCCUCGUCCUCCAGAUCUGACUCACUUCCUCGCCCUUUGUUUCCUUUCCAGCCCAGCGCCUCCAAAUCGACCAAAAAAGAAGGCCAAAUCAGGACAGCGUAGUUCUACGAAGACCAAGUUCUAGGAGUGAUAGUGUUGCACAUCAGCCCUCUCCAUUGACAGAUGAAUGAAACACCCCAGGCCCAAGAGGAUGGUGGUACUCCAAUGACAGAUUCUUCACAUGAUGAAAGGCAUGUUGAUGCUGCUACUCAAAUGGAUGAUCAUGGUUCUGGUCCAACACCUGAAAAUCAUUUAGGAAUGCCAUAGUUAUAAUUAGUGCUUGUAUUGGUAACUAUAUGCACGGACCCUUUUAUUUGUCAAUCGCUACUACUGAUGAAAAUUUGGGACUCUAGUAUGUCUUUUGGUCUGGCUAAUAACUAGUGUUAAGUUGAGCUUUUGGUAAUUACGCGAAUCUGGUGAACAUGGAGGUUUGUGUAAUGGGUAUAUAUUGUGAGCUAUGAAUGGGAUGCCAUCUUAAACUGGGCUA